This 599-nucleotide ribosomal RNA is filed under the name Raineyella fluvialis. RNAcentral describes it as "bacterial SSU rRNA". It matches the Rfam family "Bacterial small subunit ribosomal RNA", at positions 932 to 1533 of the family's 1533-position model. The record is from RNAcentral. Lineage: Bacteria; Bacillati; Actinomycetota; Actinomycetes; Propionibacteriales; Propionibacteriaceae.
GCGGACAUGCGGAUUAUUCGAUGCACGCGAAGAACCUUACCUGGGUUUGACAUAUGCCGGAAAGCUGCAGAGAUGUGGCCUCCCUUUGGGCCGGUUUACAGGUGGUGCAUGGCUGUCGUCAGCUCGUGUCGUGAGAUGUUGGGUUAAGUCCCGCAACGAGCGCAACCCUUGUCCUAUGUUGCCAGCAAUUCGGUUGGGGACUCAUAGGAGACUGCCGGGGUCAACUCGGAGGAAGGUGGGGAUGACGUCAAGUCAUCAUGCCCCUUAUGUCCAGGGCUUCACGCAUGCUACAAUGGCCGGUACAAAGAGCUGCGAGCCUGUGAGGGUGAGCGAAUCUCAAAAAGCCGGUCUCAGUUCGGAUUGGGGUCUGCAACUCGACCCCAUGAAGUCGGAGUCGCUAGUAAUCGCAGAUCAGCAACGCUGCGGUGAAUACGUUCCCGGGCCUUGUACACACCGCCCGUCAAGUCAUGAAAGUCGGCAACACCCGAAGCCGGCGGCCCAACCCUUUGGGGAGGGAGUCGUCGAAGGUGGGGCUGGUAAUUAGGACUAAGUCGUAACAAGGUAGCCGUACCGGAAGGUGCGGCUGGAUCACCUCCUUA